Molecule: transfer RNA, 74 nt
Filed under: Fidelibacterota bacterium
Lineage: Bacteria; Pseudomonadati; Fidelibacterota
Description: tRNA-Gln
Rfam family: tRNA
About the family: Transfer RNA (tRNA) molecules are approximately 80 nucleotides in length. Their secondary structure includes four short double-helical elements and three loops (D, anti-codon, and T loops).
Source: RNAcentral
UGGGGUGUCGUAUAACGCUAGGACACCAGGUUCUGGCCCUGGCAGUCGGGGUUCGAGUCCCUGCGCCCCAGCAA